RNAcentral lists this small RNA (92 nucleotides) under Flavobacterium sp. 123. Its description in RNAcentral is "Flavo-1 RNA". It matches the Rfam family "Flavo-1 RNA". Lineage: Bacteria; Pseudomonadati; Bacteroidota; Flavobacteriia; Flavobacteriales; Flavobacteriaceae. The record is from Rfam by way of RNAcentral.
UUUUAGCCCUGAUGGAAAUGACAUCCUUUUACUUUUUAUUCUGACGAAGGAAGAAUAAAAAGUAAAAGAUAAAAUGGACAGCAGGAUUAGCU